UACUGGUAUUAUACUAUAAGGAAGGCCCACCCCAUCUCUACUGGUAUUAUACUAUAAGGAAGGCUCACCCCAUCUCUACUGGUAUUAUACUAUAAGGAAGGCCCACCCCAUCUCUACUGGUAUUAUACUAUAAAGAAGGCUCACCCCAUCUCUACUGGUAUUAUACUAUAAGGAAGGCCCACCCCAUCUCUACUGGUAUUAUACUAUAAGGAAGGCCCACCCCAUCGCUACUGGUACUAUACUAUAAGGAAGGCCCACCCCAUCUCUACUGGUAUUAUACUAUAAGGAAGGCCCACCCCAUCUCUACUGGUAUUAUACUAUAAGGAAGGCCCACCCCAUCUCUACUGGUAUUAUACUAUAAGGAAGGCUCACCCCAUCUCUACUGGUAUUAUGUAUUAUACUAUAAGGAAGGCCCACCCCAUCUCUACUGGUAUUAUACUAUAAGGAAGGCCCAUCUCUACUGGUAUUAUACUAUAAGGAAGGCCCACCCCAUCUCUACUGGUAUUAUACUAUAAGGAAGGCCCACCCCAUCUCUACUGGUAUUAUGCAUUAUACUAUAAGGAAGGCUCACCCCAUCUCUACUGGUAUUAUGUAUUAUACUAUAAGGAAGGCUCACCCCAUCUCUACUGGUAUUAUACUAUAAGGAAGGCUCACCCCAUCUCUACUGGUAUUAUACUAUAAGGAAGGCUCACCCCAUCUCUACUGGUAUUAUACGAUAAGGAAGGCCCACCCCAUCUCUACUGGUAUUAUACUAUACGGAAGGCCCACCCCAUCUCUACUGGUAUUAUACUAUAAGGAAGGCCCACCCCAUCUCUACUGGUAUUAUACUAUAAGGAAGGCCCACCCCAUCUCUACUGGUAUUAUACUAUAAGGAAGGCCCACCCCAUCUCUACUGGUAUUAUACUAUAAGGAAGGCUCACCCCAUCUCUAUUGGUAUUAUACUAUAAGGAAGGCUCACCCCAUCUCUAUUGGUAUUAUACUAUAAGGAAGGCUCACCCCAUCUCUACUGGUAGUAGACUAUAAGGAAGGCUCACCCCAUCUCUACUGGUAUUAGACUAUAAGGAAGGCUCAUCCAAUCUCUACUGGUAUUAUACUAUAAGGAAGGCUCACCCCAUCUCUACUGGUAUUAUGUAUUAUACUAUAAGGAAGGCCCACCCCAUCUAUACUGGUAUUACACUAUAAGGAAGGCCCACCCCAUCUCUACUGGUAUUAUACGAUAAGGAAGGCCCACCCCAUCUCUACUGGUAUUAUACUAUAAGGAAGGCCCACCCCAUCUCUACUGGUAUUAUACUAUAAGGAAGGCCCACCCCAUCUCUACUGGUAUUAUACUAUAAGGAAGGCCCACCCCAUCUCUACUGGUAUUAUACUAUAAGGAAGGCCCACCCCAUCUCUACUGGUAUUAUACUAUAAGGAAGGCCCACCCCAUCUCUACUGGUAUUAUACUAUAAGGAAGGCUCACCCCAUCUCUAUUGGUAUUAUACUAUAAGGAAGGCUCACCCCAUCUCUACUGGUAGUAGACUAUAAGGAAGGCUCACCCCAUCUCUACUGGUAUUACACUAUAAGGAAGGCUCACCCCAUCUCUACUGGUAUUAUACUAUAAGGAAGGCCCACCCCAUCACUACUGGUAUUAUGUAUUAUACUAUAAGCAAGGCCCACCCCAUCUCUACUGGUAUUAUACUAUAAGGAAGGCCCACCCCAUCUCUACUGGUAUUAUACUAUAAGGAAGGCCCACCCAUCUCUACUGGUAUUAUACUAUAAGGAAGGCCCACCCCAUCUCUACUGGUAUUAUACUAUAAGGAAGGCCCACCCCAUCUC
RNAcentral lists this long non-coding RNA (1815 nucleotides) under Salmo salar (Atlantic salmon). RNAcentral's name for it is "lncRNA (ENSSSAG00000084124.1)". Lineage: Eukaryota; Metazoa; Chordata; Actinopteri; Salmoniformes; Salmonidae. The record is from RNAcentral.